UAAAUCGUGAGAGAUAACCCGGAAAAAGCCGCGAAAAUUCUUUAUAAUAAAUAGAUGAACAAAAACAUCAUAUUAGGCGUAGGCUGAAGACGAGCUAGUACAAGAUAGCGAAGUCAUGGGAUCUAACGGCCACCGAAAAUGAUGCAGUUGUGCAAUGAAAGUUAAUGCU
Pseudoalteromonas tunicata D2 is the source of this 169-nucleotide non-coding RNA. Lineage: Bacteria; Pseudomonadati; Pseudomonadota; Gammaproteobacteria; Alteromonadales; Pseudoalteromonadaceae. The record is from Rfam.